This 434-nucleotide ribosomal RNA is filed under the name uncultured Lachnospiraceae bacterium. Its description in RNAcentral is "partial 16S ribosomal RNA". It matches the Rfam family "Bacterial small subunit ribosomal RNA", at positions 341 to 792 of the family's 1533-position model. Lineage: Bacteria; Bacillati; Bacillota; Clostridia; Lachnospirales; Lachnospiraceae. The record is from RNAcentral.
ACGGGAGGCAGCAGUGGGGAAUAUUGGACAAUGGGGGAAACCCUGAUCCAGCGACGCCGCGUGAGUGAAGAAGUAUUUCGGUAUGUAAAGCUCUAGCAGCAGGGAAGAUGAUGACGGUACCUGACUAAGAAGCCCCGGCUAACUACGUGCCAGCAGCCGCGGUAAUACGUAGGGGGCAAGCGUUAUCCGGAUUUACUGGGUGUAAAGGGAGCGUAGGCGGUCAGACAAGUCAGAUGUGAAAGCCCGGGGCUUAACUCCGGGACUGCAUUUGAAACUGUAUGUCUAGAUUACUGGAGAGGCCAGCGGAAUUCCUAGUGUAGCGGUGUAAUGCGUAGAUAUUAGGAAGAACACCGGUGGCGAAGGCGGCUUGCUGGACAGAGACUGACGCUGAGGCUCGAAAGCGUGGGGCGCAAACAGGAUUAGAUACCCUGGUA